GAGAAAUUCGAACUAAAGUUGUUGCGAUUUUCCCUUGAAAUAGAAGGUACAUGGUGAUCCUGCCAGCUCAGGGGAAACUGAACAGAGAACGCUCUUGCAAAGGAAAGAUUCUCGGCUCUAUCUGGUACAGUAUUGAAGUGUGAGCCCAUUUGGACCGGCAGCAGUUGGGAUUUGGCCUGGGUCUCAGGAGUACUGCAACCUGCAGGAAUGUAAGGAGUCCUCACCAAGGAGUGCAUAAGACGGAGUCAAAGGCUGAUUCAGCGGUCAGUGUAUCCUCUCACCGAUGCCCCUGGAUCAUCCGACACACCAUCCUAAAACUCUACAGGAGUCCAUCAACUACCACUAACUUCUAUUUUCUGAGACUACUGGAAACAUCGGGUAUUUCUGGAACCCUUCAAACUUGAGACAGCAAAAGGAAACACACUCAGCUUGAAUACAACGAUCCUGAGCAGAGGCAAAGAGCACUGGGCUUGUACUGAGCUGUACUUCCUUCUGGUUGUUCUGCCUUUCACAACUCAGAGGGCCUGGGGGACAGCUCAGAGGGAAGAGUGCCUGCUCUUUCAGCUUGAGGACCUGAGUUCAGAUCCUCAGCGUACACAUCAAAAGCUGCAUGUACACCUGCAACCCCAACGCAGAGAGGCCAGAGAUUGGAGCAGCACAGAGCCAGCUGGGGGAUGUCGAGACCCUCGGAGAAUCUCUGGGACUUGUUGGUAGCCAGACCAGUCAAAACCAGUGAGCGCCAGGUUCAAUGAGAGACCUGGUCUCAAGGAAGAAAGAAAAGAGCAACAGAAUAGAGCACUCAUUGUCUCCCUCAGUCUCCACAGGAUUUCUCUGUGUAGCCCUGGGCGUCCAAGAACUCACUUCGUAGACCAGGCUGUCCUCAACCUCACAGAGUCUAUCUCUGCCUCCCGAGUGCUGGAAUUAAAGGUGUGUGCCACCACCAUUCAGCUCAUCCAAAAGUCCACUAGCUAACCUUAACCUCUAGGUAGUGAGUAAGUGAGGGUAAUCCUUUGAGAGACUUACAUGGUUAAAUGCAAUAGACUCCGAAGAAAGCACAGAGUUGAAUUCAGUCUUUAUCACUUUCAAGUUUGAGAGUUGGGACGACUUAUUCCACGGCUAAUCCCUGGUGUCUUCUCUAAUGUAGGAUAGCUACAGGAUCAUCUUACACUGUCGUUGGAAAGAACAGAGACUCCGGAAAUAUUGUCCAGAGUGAAAUAAGAGCAUAAUAAAUAUAUUCACACCAAGUAAGAACCUCCAUGUUCUUGUAGGACAUGGAGACAGACCAUCAAUGAGUCAGUUUUCUGGUCAGUAGUACAUGGAAACGGCUCAUCUAUUUCUUACCAGAGUAUUACGUAAAAUCAAUGGCGGGGGGGAGAUAAAGAGUUAAGUCCGUCCGCUCCAGAUGUUGCUUGCUGCCUGGAGAAUGUGGCAGCAAAUUCCUUGUGUGUGUUUGCUCGCCUUUGUGAUCUUUCUCCCUAACGAGCAGCUUUGAUUCAACAACUCAGGUCGUAAAGAUCAGACACGUUUCGGUUUUAUUUGUAAGUCUCACCUGAAAAUUUCAGUUGAUUGGAGAUUAGGACCGGCAGAUGUGAGGGAGCUAGGAAAUGGCCCCUUUUCCUGUAACUCACCCUCCCUGGGGAGAGCCUGCUUUUCAAAGUAAAGACAUACUUAGGAUUCCAAACAGAAGAGGGGCAAAACCCCUUCAGAGUCACCGGUCUAGGCAAUGUUGGCAAUGGAAUACCUUUAAGGAAAAUGGACUUUUAAAAUCUGACAAGGGAAUGAAUAUAAAACUACUGAUUUUUGUGGGCUUGCUUAAAUUUCCAUAAAAUAUUUAUGAUAAGCAGUCUAAAAAGCACCAGCCAUGAUCAUCGAGUCUAUUUUUAUUUUAUUGAUCGGUUAACCUAAAUAAAAUCUUCUUAGGUGCCCACAAGGCUGACAUUUGUGCUGAUUUGGGGGUAGGGAAACAUGUGUAAUCUUUCAUAGCUAGUAACAUCAGUGAUAUGGAGCCUAUCAUUAUUUUCACGGAUGGAUCCCCAGCUUUACUUUGUGGUCCUUUAGGUUUUUCUGGGAAAGGAACCCAGAGAGACUUGGCCUCCUCAGCUCUCCCUCUUCAUUCUUUUUGCGUGGGAUAUCUGUCCUUCAUUUGUUAAGAGAAUGCCGAGACGGGACGUAAUGAAAGCCCGGCUCUCCCCGCUCUUUCAUCUUCAUACUUAUUUUCUGAAGUGCAUUCCUUCACGAAAUCGCAGUCCGCUCCGCCCUUCCUAAAAUAACAGUGUGAGGCAGUGAGGUCUACCUCCACCCUCUCCUGUGACCCUAAUUGCAUGUAAGCCGGCUCUUGGAUGAUCUGAAAAGUCAGUGCUGUCAGAGCUGGCUACAUAAUUUAUAGGGGCCAGUGCAAAAUGAGAAUGCGUGACCCCCUUGUUCCAAACAUGGCGGCGGUGGGGGGGUAGUAUGGUUCGGAGAGUAAAAAUAAAAAGCUUUCUCUCUCUUCCCUCCCUUGUCAUACCAUUUUUAUUUGUCCCUUUGUCACUAAGAGUGAAAAUAGAAACUGAAUUUUAAGUUACUAGCAGAGAUUUUACUAUUCAUCUUUGUACUG
Peromyscus maniculatus bairdii (prairie deer mouse) is the source of this 2596-nucleotide long non-coding RNA. RefSeq lists it as uncharacterized. Lineage: Eukaryota; Metazoa; Chordata; Mammalia; Rodentia; Cricetidae. The record is from RefSeq and is a predicted model, not a curated record.